RNAcentral lists this small nuclear RNA (310 nucleotides) under Aotus nancymaae (Ma's night monkey). Its description in RNAcentral is "7SK RNA (ENSANAG00000010497.1)". It matches the Rfam family "7SK RNA". From Rfam's summary of the family: 7SK was discovered as an abundant small nuclear RNA in the mid-70s but a possible function has only recently been suggested. Two independent studies have found that 7SK RNA binds the CDK9/cyclin T complex (known as elongation factor P-TEFb). Lineage: Eukaryota; Metazoa; Chordata; Mammalia; Primates; Aotidae. The record is from Rfam by way of RNAcentral.
AGAUGUUAGGGCGAUCUGGCUGCGACAUCUGUCAGCCCAUUGAUCGCCAGGGUUGAUUUGGCUGAUCUGGCUGGCUAGGCGGGUGUCCCCUUCCUUCCUCACUGCUCCAUGUGCAUCCCUCCCGAAGCUGCGUGCUCGGUCGAAGAGGAUGACCAUCCCCGAUAGAGGAGGAUCGGUCUUCGGUCAAGGGUAUAUGAGUAGCUGCGCUCCCCUGCUAGAACCUCCAAACAAGCUCUCAAGAAAUCGUACUUCGAGUAUCCAUACAACCAUUCUGUUUUUCAUUUUCAGUAGUGUAUUUAAUAAGUUGCAU